UAGAAAUGAUGGGACGUGUUUGAGGUAUA
This 29-nucleotide non-coding RNA is filed under the name Mus musculus (house mouse). Lineage: Eukaryota; Metazoa; Chordata; Mammalia; Rodentia; Muridae. The record is from RNAcentral.